RNAcentral lists this long non-coding RNA (1222 nucleotides) under Takifugu rubripes (torafugu). Its description in RNAcentral is "lncRNA (ENSTRUG00000032762.1)". Lineage: Eukaryota; Metazoa; Chordata; Actinopteri; Tetraodontiformes; Tetraodontidae. The record is from RNAcentral.
AUGUAAUGCAAAAUGGAGUGUUGCAUGUGUGAGGCUAAACCCCAUUGAAGACUGGGUCACAUUUAAGGUUCUGACACCCUGAACCACCUCACUCGCAGUGCUGACCUGAAGUCGGAACACAGGGGGCUGCAUACUUACCCCCUGCUUAGCAUGGAUUACUUACUUAAAACCUCUAGGUGCAUCCAUGACCAAACUGACGUUUUCUCGUCAAAAUGUGAUUGCAACAUUAGUUUUCAUAUGAUCCUGAUAUAAUCACUUCUGCUUUGGGGGAAAAAAGUGCAUUCAUGCCCAAACUGACAUUUUCUCAACAAGAUGACCAAAGAUGCUGAGAAUGCACAAUCAAGAUUUCCAAACAAUGUUGAACGAGGUACUGUUUGGACUGGUAGCAUUUAAAAAUCAGUCAUAGAUGGCCAAUUAGGAGGGAACCACAAUACCCGAUGGUGCAACCACCCUUGGAGUUGAAUUUCUGGCUACAUCUUAUCAGCACUGGAUUAAAAAUAGAUACAUGCUGCUUGGCACUAAUUUAAUAGUCCACACAUGCCACAUCCCAAUGCACUACCUGUAUGAUGUGGUUAACAAUGUGUAGUUACAGACAAAAUGUAUACUUGAGACCAUAAGCAUAUAUUUGGGAGAGGAUUUUUUGUUUACCACUCAUCAAAGUUUUAUCAGAUAUGUCAGUUGUGCUGUCACAGAAAGUCUCGAAAAACAUGUAGUAGAAUUUAAAAACAUGCAAAUCUGAAAAUUGUGAAAAUAGCUAGAAAACAGUUACCUAGGACUGUGCAUGGGUUAGAAUAAUGACAUUAUAAAUAAUGGUGUUCAUUUCACCCAAGCAGGAUUGAAAUGGCAGACUAUGCAAAAUGGGUGGUUGCCCACCCAGUAUGUGCCAGUUGGACCACAGGAGGCUUCCGGAUGAACCAGGUUUAUCUCCUCAGCAGCUGCUCAGCAACUAUCAGAUCCAGGUCAGCGUAAGGAGCUAUCGAUGUAAGCACUUCGGAGUUCUUCCCCAACGGGACCACGAAACCUCCCUCGGGCAAGCCUCGGUGUUGGAUGGAUACCUGACUGUUCUGUCCAAUAAACAUCUCUUAUAACCAAGUCAGUGUCUGCGAAUAUUCCUUCCUCAUCAGCACCUCUUGACUACCACCAGAAGAAAUUUACAACACCUGCUGAUGUGUUUCUUGAACAUAAAAAUUAUCUAAUUAUCUGACGCGUAUAUAAAUUUCAG